RNAcentral lists this ribosomal RNA (40 nucleotides) under Flavomyces fulophazii. RNAcentral's name for it is "partial 18S ribosomal RNA". Lineage: Eukaryota; Fungi; Ascomycota; Dothideomycetes; Pleosporales; Periconiaceae. The record is from RNAcentral.
GCAAAAACGUUCCGUAGGUGAACCUGCGGAAGGAUCAUUA